AUUUAAAUAGUUUAAAAAAAAUUCUGAUUUGUGGUAUCAGAGAUAUACAGAUGUAUUUUAAAUC
RNAcentral lists this transfer RNA (64 nucleotides) under Phlebotomus papatasi. RNAcentral describes it as "tRNA-His". Lineage: Eukaryota; Metazoa; Arthropoda; Insecta; Diptera; Psychodidae. The record is from RNAcentral.